CGAAUUCUCUUUAUUAUUCUUGCCCUAAUGUCUUAGUGACAGAACCUUUAAUUCCAAAGUAACCCCUAAUUCCUUAGUAGAUUUAAGAUUAGAAUUAAGCAUUACCGUAUAGAAAUUCUUUUGUAAAUUAUUGCUUUGCAACUAAUUUAAUUGGUUUCAUGACCUGCACCUAUGUCUAGACUACAAAUUCAUGAAUUUCUCAUCUCAAGCAUCCGUAAAGUCCACUUCUGUUUCAAAAUACAAAUCGUAGAACAUUUUAAUGUUGAUCAAGCAAUAAAAAGCAUUAAGCACAGAGAUGAGAAAAAUAAUUCAAUAAAC
This 318-nucleotide long non-coding RNA is filed under the name Cicer arietinum (chickpea). RNAcentral describes it as "long non-coding RNA (CARI_LNC002485)". Lineage: Eukaryota; Viridiplantae; Streptophyta; Magnoliopsida; Fabales; Fabaceae. The record is from RNAcentral.